RNAcentral lists this ribosomal RNA (429 nucleotides) under Fusobacteriota bacterium. RNAcentral's name for it is "Fusobacteria bacterium partial 16S ribosomal RNA". It matches the Rfam family "Bacterial small subunit ribosomal RNA", at positions 355 to 776 of the family's 1533-position model. The record is from RNAcentral. Lineage: Bacteria; Fusobacteriati; Fusobacteriota.
UGGGGAAUCUUCCGCAAUGGACGAAAGUCUGACGGAGCAACGCCGCGUGAGUGAAGACGGCCCUCGGGUUGUAAAGCUCUGUGAUCCGGGACGAAAGAGCCUGAGGUGAAUAGCCUAAGGAAGUGACGGUACCGGAAAAGCAAGCCACGGCUAACUACGUGCCAGCAGCCGCGGUAAUACGUAGGUGGCAAGCGUUGUCCGGAAUUAUUGGGCGUAAAGCGCGCGCAGGCGGCUUCCUAAGUCCAUCUUAAAAGUGCGGGGCUUAACCCCGUGAUGGGAUGGAAACUGGGAAGCUGGAGUAUCGGAGAGGAAAGUGGAAUUCCUAGUGUAGCGGUGAAAUGCGUAGAGAUUGGGAAGAACACCGGUGGCGAAGGCGACUUUCUGGACGAAAACUGACGCUGAGGCGCGAAAGCGUGGGGAGCAAACAGG